UCGAGGGGCAUCGGGAUUGAAGCUUGCUUCAAUUGCCGGCGACCGGCGCACGGGUGCGUAACGCGUAUGUAACCUACCUAUAACAGGGGCAUAACACUGAGAAAUUGGUACUAAUUCCCCAUAAUAUUCGGAGAGGCAUCUCUCCGGGUUGAAAACUCCGGUGGUUAUAGAUGGACAUGCGUUGUAUUAGCUAGUUGGUGAGGUAACGGCUCACCAAGGCAACGAUACAUAGGGGGACUGAGAGGUUAACCCCCCACACUGGUACUGAGACACGGACCAGACUCCUACGGGAGGCAACAGUGAGGAAUAUUGGUCAAUGGACGCAAGUCUGAACCAGCCAUGCCGCGUGCAGGAAGACGGCUCUAUGAGUUGUAAACUGCUUUUGUACGAGGGUAAACUCACCUACGUGUAGGUGACUGAAAGUAUCGUACGAAUAAGGAUCGGCUAACUCCGUGCCAGCAGCCGCGGUAAUACGGAGGAUUCAAGCGUUAUCCGGAUUUAUUGGGUUUAAAGGGUGCGUAGGCGGUUUGAUAAGUUAGAGGUGAAAUCCCGGGGCUUAACUCCGGAACUGCCUCUAAUACUGUUAGACUAGAGAGUAGUUGCGGUAGGCGGAAUGUAUGGUGUAGCGGUGAAAUGCUUAGAGAUCAUACAGA
This 653-nucleotide ribosomal RNA is filed under the name uncultured bacterium. RNAcentral's name for it is "bacterial SSU rRNA". It matches the Rfam family "Bacterial small subunit ribosomal RNA", at positions 62 to 705 of the family's 1533-position model. The record is from RNAcentral.